This 380-nucleotide unclassified non-coding RNA is filed under the name uncultured Micrococcales bacterium. RNAcentral's name for it is "contains 16S-23S intergenic spacer region". Lineage: Bacteria; Bacillati; Actinomycetota; Actinomycetes; Micrococcales. The record is from RNAcentral.
UCCGAGUUGACCCCGGCAGUCUCCCAUGAGUCCCCGGCACUACCCGCUGGCAACAUGGGACGAGGGUUGCGCUCGUUGCGGGACUUAACCCAACAUCUCACGACACGAGCUGACGACAACCAUGCACCACCUGUGAACCGGCCACAAAGUGGGGCACCUGUUUCCAGGCGUUACCGGUCCAUGUCAAGCCUUGGUAAGGUUCUUCGCGUUGCAUCGAAUUAAUCCGCAUGCUCCGCCGCUUGUGCGGGCCCCCGUCAAUUCCUUUGAGUUUUAGCCUUGCGGCCGUACUCCCCAGGCGGGGAACUUAAUGCGUUAGCUGCGACACGGAGACCGUGGAAUGGUCCCCACAUCUAGUUCCCAACGUUUACGGCAUGGACUAC